RNAcentral lists this ribosomal RNA (234 nucleotides) under uncultured bacterium. RNAcentral describes it as "partial 16S ribosomal RNA". It matches the Rfam family "Bacterial small subunit ribosomal RNA", at positions 97 to 334 of the family's 1533-position model. The record is from RNAcentral.
GGCGGACGGGUGAGUAAUGUCUGGGAAACUGCCUGAUGGAGGGGGAUAACUACUGGAAACGGUAGCUAAUACCGCAUAACGUCGCAAGACCAAAGAGGGGGACCUUCGGGCCUCUUGCCAUCGGAUGUGCCCAGAUGGGAUUAGCUAGUAGGUGGGGUAACGGCUCACCUAGGCGACGAUCCCUAGCUGGUCUGAGAGGAUGACCAGCCACACUGGAACUGAGACACGGUCCAG